Molecule: ribosomal RNA, 1509 nt
Filed under: Triticum aestivum (bread wheat)
Lineage: Eukaryota; Viridiplantae; Streptophyta; Magnoliopsida; Poales; Poaceae
Description: partial small subunit ribosomal RNA
Source: RNAcentral
AUGGCUUCUGAGGAAACCAAACCAAAGAAGCAAAGAGAUGAGGAAUGCAUUAUAAACGGUCUCCCAGGAGAACUCAUUGAGCGGAUAUUUUUGAAGCUUCCAGUGAGCACUUUGUUGAGGUGCACUGGUGUUUGCAAGCAGUGGCACAAAAUCAUCCGAGAUCCUCAGUUUGUCACCUCUCACCUCCAGGAUGCGCCCCAAUGUGCCUUCCUAUUCUUUCCACAAGAGUCAAUCUCAGGUGAGCCCCAUCCUGCUGAUGCUAUCCUGAUUGACGAAGCCUGGUCGCCAUCAACAUAUGCAGUGCCAGUGAUUGGGCCUGACGAUCUCCUUUGUGGUUCAUGCAAUGGGCUUCUUGUCUUAUACACAAAGUCAUCAACACUCAAGGUAGCUAACUUUGCAACUGGUGAAUGCCUGCAUCUUGAGAAACCUGUAAAGAAUUUGAGGGGUGAUCACUUCUUGUUCUACAACUUUGGAUUUCACCCAUUGACAAAAGAAUACAAGAUUACACACUUCCUUGGUGAUCCUGUUGUGGGCAGCACUCGCUCCCAUAAUAAUAGCAGAUUCAGCGUCAUUCAAGUUUACACACUUGGUGAUGAGAAAUGGAGAGACAUCAAAACUCCAGAAGCCCUAAGCUUAAACUGUGUAAAAAACUCUGGAGCAGUCAAUAUUGACGGAACAAUGUGUUGGCUAAUUGAAGACAUGGUAGCUAACUGGCAGCAUGCAGUUAUGACCUUUGAUCUCAGUGAAGAAAGUUUUGCACGGAUACAACUGCCAGCAACUGUACAUGAAGAUUGUGCAGGUGGCGGUCCCCGUCGGUACUGGAUCAGAGAGAUAGAUAGGAAGAUAUGUAUAGCAACUGCUCAAGCCUGUCCUUCUCUUCCCAGGAGGCUUGUUGGUACGCUGCAGAUCUGGGAACUUGAGAACAAAACGGAGCAAAGGUGGAGCCUGAAGUACAAUAUUCAGUACUCGCCAGUUUACAUUCCGGGUUCAAAUUUGGUUCACAGGAAUAAGAUCAUACUGCAAGGUCGCGAGGGCAACCUAUAUUCCUAUGAGUUGCUCGGGGAGAACUUCAAUACUAAAUUGUGUAAGAUGGCAAAGCUGUUAGAUUUCAGUCCCCACAAGCCUGACAACAUGCAAUCCUAUAUCUGUGUGAAGUCACUUGUACGUUUAGAUGUAUACAAGAAGACUGCCAUUGCGCGUAGGCCAAAACAACGGGAAGGCUGGGAAUUGAAGAAGUGGGAGGCAUGGGAGCACCAGCUCUCUGAUUAUGAAAAAUUGUGGACUCGCCUUCAUGGUCUGCUGUCGCGUAUCUUGGAUGAUGCGAUUCGACAGGAUAUAGGCAUGAAAAUCAAUCAAAUAUGUCCAAGCCUUCCAAAUCAGCAACCAAGGCCCCUCCGGCGGCUUAAUUGUGUGGCACAUAAGCAAGAUAGGGAAAAUUUAUCUGCUUGUUUGGAUAUUUAUGAAGGCAUCGAGGGAGGCUUCAAAGAGUAUCAUGAGUGUGAUACUUAG